UUUCUAUGGAUCUUUAGCCUGGGUUUGUGUGGUAUGUGUGUAUAUAUAUUUUUAAUUUUCAAUUUUAAUUUGACCAUUUUAUAUUCUUAAAAUAAAUGCAGUUAGUUUAAAAGGAGAAUAAAUGUCCUUUGACAGACAGAAAAACUGCAUCGUAUGCAGUCUUUGCGAACAAUAGGGAUUGAACUAGAAGCUUUAAUAAGGGUCAUGCAUAAAAUAGAAGGGUUAAUGAAACGGCACAGAGAUUUGCGAUACAAACGAUUAGCGAAGAUUAGGAGGAUGGAAUAUGUGAUAUGUAUCAGAUGAAGUAUCUCUAGAGAAUUUAACCGUAUUUCACAAAGAAGCACUGAUAACUGUAGAUUGAAUGAACGUUACGUGACGGCAUUCAAAAUGUGUUUGAUUUUUGAGAUUCGGUAAGUUUGAGAGGAGAGAAAAUUCAUUUGGGGAAAAAAAUAAGGUGCUGUAAGUUUUCAAAAUGCUACGAAUUCUGUUCGAUAUCUAGAUCAUUUGGAUAGAUUGCGAUGAUCGAUCAAAAUCGGACUAAAGCUACUUUUAAGGGUCAGAAAGGGCGAAUGUUUAGGAAUGAACAAAACUCUGUGUAAAUAAUACGAGCAAAUUUUUAUUUGGGAAAAAUGGAGUAAGAUAAUUAAACUGGAGGAAGGUUAUAAGAAGAGAAUUCCCUUAGAUUUGCAUUUGAAAACCUUUUAGCAACAGCGGUGUAUUGAAGCGUUGAUCAGAUCUUCAUGGAUGAGUCCUAUAAUCACUUUAGAGCUGCACACCAGCUUAUAAUGACAGUUAAUGUGGAUAAAUGGAAUUUUAGAAGAACUCCGUCUUUGUAACAGCCGCCUAAUUACCAACAUCUUCAAUGACUUCAGAUUCUCUGAUUAAAUUUCCCCAAACUAGACUGUAAGUUAGUCUGCUACUUACAUAAAAGCAUCACCACCGCUUGGAUAAUGUUCUCCAUGUUCUGAUUGGCUUACGCAAGCAGCAACCGCAUCGCCACUCCAAGCAGAGGAUGAGUGGACACUCUAAACGUAACGGAUACCGACGUCUUGAUCGGAUUAUUGGGGCUCUGAAGGACAUUGCGAUUCUCGAUGCGGCAGAAGACCGUUAAGAAGCGAACCACAAGAAGAAAAAAAUCUUGUCCUGAAACCAGUCGGACAAAUUUUUCCGCGGUUAUAAUUAAGUCGAUUAGAUGCCAGUAGAAUCUACAAUUACAACCCUCUGGCAAGUACUUCACUCUACUCGAUGGUCUGUCAGAAGAGGUUAACUUUGAAGUGGGAUAUGGCUAGUAAUGAGACAAAUCAAUAUGGGUGGCAUCAAUGCAGAAUGUUUAAGCCUAUACACUACACUGGGUUGCUCUUUUGUUCUGGUUGGUCGUUAGGGGAUAACUUUGUUUACAACAACUCUGACUUUAUAAGAAGGUUGAAUCCAAUUUCUUUGUGUGCUUACAACCGUGCUUUUCUCUAUUGUCUAUCCGUGUAACGCUAUCUAAA
Molecule: long non-coding RNA, 1493 nt
Filed under: Androctonus crassicauda
Lineage: Eukaryota; Metazoa; Arthropoda; Arachnida; Scorpiones; Buthidae
Source: RNAcentral